This 472-nucleotide ribosomal RNA is filed under the name uncultured bacterium. RNAcentral's name for it is "bacterial SSU rRNA". It matches the Rfam family "Bacterial small subunit ribosomal RNA", at positions 28 to 507 of the family's 1533-position model. The record is from RNAcentral.
GAUGAACGCUAGCUACAGGCUUAACACAUGCAAGUCGAGGGGAAACGAUAUUGGAAGCUUGCUUCCGAUAGGCGUCGACCGGCGCACGGGUGAGUAACGCGUAUCCAACCUGCCCAUCACUUGGGGAUAACCUUGCGAAAGUAAGACUAAUACCCAAUGACGUCUCUAGAAGACAUCUGAAGGAGAUUAAAGAUUUAUCGGUGAUGGAUGGGGAUGCGUCUGAUUAGCUUGUUGGCGGGGUAACGGCCCACCAAGGCGACGAUCAGUAGCCGGACUGAGAGGUUGAACGGCCACAUUGGGACUGAGACACGGCCCAGACUCCUACGGGAGGCAGCAGUGGGGGAUAUUGCACAAUGGGGGAAACCCUGAUGCAGCGACGCCGCGUGGAGGAAGAAGGUUUUCGGAUUGUAAACUCCUGUCGUUAGGGACGAUAAUGACGGUACCUAACAAGAAAGCACCGGCUAACUACGUG